RNAcentral lists this ribosomal RNA (245 nucleotides) under uncultured bacterium. Its description in RNAcentral is "partial 16S ribosomal RNA". It matches the Rfam family "Bacterial small subunit ribosomal RNA", at positions 524 to 768 of the family's 1533-position model. The record is from RNAcentral.
UACGUAGGGCGCAAGCGUUGUCCGGAAUUAUUGGGCGUAAAGAGCUCGUAGGCGGUCUGUUACGUCCGCUGUGAAAACCCAGGGCUUAACCCUGGGCUUGCAGUGGAUACGGGCAGACUAGAGGCAGGUAGGGGAGAAUGGAAUUCCCGGUGUAGCGGUGAAAUGCGCAGAUAUCGGGAGGAACACCGGUGGCGAAGGCGGUUCUCUGGGCCUGACCUGACGCUGAGGAGCGAAAGCGUGGGGAG